UAAGCACUGGGGAUACUCAAUUGAACAAGAUACAGUCCCUGUCCCAGGAAAAAUGGACAAGUCAACAGGCAAUUACAAUCUACUGUGAUGCAUAUUAAGAAAAGAGUAAACAUUUGGAAUUCUAGGUGCACACUGAAGGGCAUUUAACUGAAUCUUGAGGUUGGGAAUGUUUAGAAGGUAUUGUUUAAGCUGAGGCUCAGUGGAUGAGAAAGACUUAUCCAAAUGAAAAGAAGGCACAGGAGAAGAGGAAGUUCAGAGACCAGAAGCGAAGCAGAACAAAACCAAACAAAGAGCACUCAAGGAUCCACAAGUAAUUUAUUAGGUAUACAGCUUCAAGUUCAAGGUGGGCAGAGAUUAGAGAUAAGGCUAAAUGGAUAAGUAGAAUUCAGGUUAUGAAGGACUGUCUAUCAUGUUAUGGAGUUUGGACUUUAUCUAGGUGAGGUGUCAUAGAAAGAUUUUUAAAGCCACCAGAAUGGUUAAAAUUAAAAAGAUAGACAAUACCAAGAGUUGAUGAGGAUGUGGAAUAACUGGAAUUCUUAUAAGACCUACCUAUAAUACAAUACCUACGAAUACCUACCUAAUACAAUACAACACAACAUAAUAAUAAUACCUACUAAUGCUCUCUGACCCAGCAAUUCUGCUCUAGGUUAUGUACCAACAGAAAUGUGUGCUUGUGUCAACCAGAAGAUAUAGGCAAAAAUGUUCAUAACAGUUUUAUUCAUAAUAUCUAAAACCUAUAAAUGAUUCAAACAUCCAUCAACAGUGAAAAGGGUAAAUAAAUUGAGAUGUAUUCACAGAAUGAAAUACUACAUAGCAAUAAAGAGGAGUGCCACAUACUGAAUGAAUAUCAUAGACAUUGAGUGAAAAAGUCAUACACAAAAAAGAACCUAUUGUAUGAUUCCACUUCUACGAGUUUUUAAAACAGGCAAAACUAAUUUGUGGUGACAGAAUUCAGAAUAGUAGUUACCUUGGGGGUGGAGUAUGACUCAAAUGAGGGCAUGAGAGAGCCUUCUGGAGUGCCAGAAUAUUCUCUGUCUUGAUCUGGUAUACAUAUUUAAAAACAUAUCAAGUCAUAUAUUUAAGAUUUGGGCACUUUACUAAGUUAAUACCUUUAUUAAGUUAUACUUCAAUAAAAAUUAAAAUAAAAAGAGGAAUGAGGGACCAGCCCCAUGGCGGAGUGGUUAAGUUUGUGCGCUCUGCUUCGGUGGCCCAGGAUUUUACCAGUUCGGAUCCUGGGCGCAGACAUGGUACCACUCGUCAAGCCAUGCCGAGGCGGCGUCCCACAUGCCACAACUAGAAGGAGCCACAACUAAAAAUAUACAGCUGUGUACCAGGGGAGCUUUGGGGAGAAAAAGGAAAAAUAAAAUCUUGAAAAAAAAAAAAAAAAAAGAGGAACAAGAGCUAGUCCUGAUGGCCUAGUGGUUAAAAUUUGGCACACUCUGCUUUGGCGGCCUGGCUUUGGUUCCCAGGCAGAGAUCCACACCACUUGUCUGUCAGUAGCCAUGCUGUGGCAGCGGCUCACACAGAGGAACUAGAAAGACUUACAACUUAAAUAUACAACUGCGUGCUGGGGUGUUGGGGACUUAAAAAAAAAAAAGAGGAAGAUUGGCAGCAGAUGUUAGCUCACGGUGAAUCUUUCCCAGAAAAAAAAAAAGAGGAAUGACAUAAAAUUUGUGUUUUGAAGUGUAGAAUUGGCUGGAGGCAAGGAGAAAAAUUAGCAAUAAUAUCAAUAAGCGAGUACUGGCCUGAAAUAGGGGAUGGAUUAAUGUUACACAUAAAAGAUAAGGAAAAGGAGGCUUAAUGUUUCCUGUAUGUGGUGGAUGAUGGAGAGGGAGGUAUCAAGAAUGAUUCAGAGGAUUCUGGUUUAAGCAACAGGAUGGACGGUGAUGACGUUCACUGAGAUAGAGAGUACAGAAGGUGGAGCAGCCUUGAGAUCAUAUUUAGUAAAUGAGAAAAACUCUGGGAAAGAGAACUGGGUGUGGCCAAGGCAGACCAUGCACUCUCUCCAGCUGGUCUGAUGAGAGGUUGGUAAUCUCAAUUUGAGUCACUUGCAUUUUAUUGGUACUGGAACGACAGGCUCUAGCAAGUCAGAGUGGUUGAGGGAGAUAUUUAGGAGCCGCUGUCACCUUGUGAAUAGAAAUCUGUGAUUUGAAAACAAGGCCUGUGAGAAAUAAAGAUGGAUUUAAAGCAAUGGACCCCAAGUUUUCAAAGUGCCAGAAAAUGAAAAAGUAAAGGUAGACUAUGCCAAAGGAAAUAACUAUGCUGAUACCUCUUUAGCCACGUGAUGAGGAAACCAAUCUUGGGCCUUUGAGAAUGAGUUUAUGUGGUUGGUUGUGUGCAGUGAGGGGUCAUGGGAAGGGCAUGGGCUCUGGGGCCAAACAGACACAGGUUCAAAUUCCACCUCCACAGCUUUCUUACACGGUGACUGAGGGCAAGCCAAGUAAACAUCUGUAGCCUAAGUUUGCUUAUUUGAAAAUGUGGCAAAUAAUACCCACCGUCCCAGGUGUGAUGUUUAAAUAAAUUCAUGUAUGUGGAAGAAGUUAAUUCAUUAUGGGUAUCCAAUAUAUGUGGGUUUCCCUUUCCUCUCGUUGUGGACAAAGCAUGUCUCCUGUUAAAACCAUAUAAAAAGUCCCAAAGGAUAAAUGCUGUUAAAGAUUGUUAUACAAGACUCUGAGAUUGAAUAAUUGGCCUUAUUAAGGUAGUUUAAAAUCAUCAGCUCGACAAAUGUAUUAAUUAGGAUUAGUUUGGCAGCAUUUAACCAAACCCCUAAAACAAAGUUGGCUCAAAAAUACGGAAAUGUAUUUCUCUGGUAAAAGAAGUCUGGAGGUCGGCGUUCCUGGGUUGGCCUGGCAGUUCUCUGAGAACAUGAGAGUCUCAAGCUACAAUGUUUCUGUCCAUCAUGUUGGCACAUGGCUUCCAUCUUCAGGGUACCUUUUGGUUCAAGACAGCAGCUGCAACUUCUGGCAUCUUAGUUGCAGGCCAAAAGAAGAGACAAGAUAGAAGGGCCACUUCCAGAUAUGGCAGAAAGUUCCAUAAGACAUUUCAGUUUACAUUUCAUUGACCAAAUUUAGCUGCAAGGAAAGCAGGAAAACAUAAUUCCAGGUAUUAGUAUGCCCAGACAAAAAUCUGGAUUCUGUUACUAAGGAGGAAGGGAAGAAUGCCUGUUGGGGUAGGCAACCAGUACUCUCUUCUCAGGGAUCUUAUUCAUCCAACAAAUAAUGAUUGUGUGACUCUAUUUGUUAGGCACCAAGCCCCAUUCCAGACAUUGGAGACUCAUGAGGCAAAAAAAGGGACAAAUUCUUAUCUUCACAGAGCCUACAUUCUAGUGGAAUAAUAAUUGAUAACGUUUAUUAAGUGAUUACUGUAUGCCAGGCACGAUUUUCAGCAUUUUCCUUGCAUUAAUUUAUUUGAUCUUCACAAAAACCAUUUGGGGUAGGUGCCAUCAUUGUCCAUAUUUUGUAAAUAACAGAAACUGAGGCACAGAAAAGUUAAUAACUUGCUCAAAUUGAUAUGUCAUAAGUGGUAGAGCCAGAAUUUGAACUCAGUCUAACUCCAAAAUGCAUGCUUUUAAACUGUCUGCUAUAUUGCUUCUCCUCAAUUUUUUCGUAUGUUGAAUUUUCUUUCUCUUUUCGGCAUAAAUAAUUGUUUAUAUGUUUUGGAGGCACAAAUAGUUGAGCCCAGUUCUCCUGCUUUUCUGUAGUGGUGGUGGGGCAUUGGAAGGGGAAUGGCUGGCUCUGCAUUCUGUGAGGAGUUAAUUGGAAAAAGUCACCCUAUACAGGACUUAGGAAAUCAUCAGACUCCUUGAGACUUACAGUGCAGCUCAGGUGCAGUAGGGAGUAGGAAGUGUCUUCUUUUUUAAGAGCUGUAACUUGGAGUCGGUGAUGGCAUCACUAAUUGCUCAAUCCAGAAACCUGGACAUCAUUUCUGACUCUUCCCACUCCUUCAAACCCACAUAUCAUCAAUUAGUCCUUUUGACUGAACUUCGUAAAUAUUACUACAAUUUGUCAGCUUAUUUCCAUCUCUAUUGUCACAUCUCCAAGUUCAUGGAAUUAUCAUCUUUUGUCUGUGUAAUUCAAUAGCCACAUUUAUGAUGUCCCUGCCUCCAGUCAAGCCCUCUUGGGUCCACUUUCCACACUGUAGCCAGGGGAUCUAAUAUCCACAGCUGGUCAAAUCACCUCCUUCUUAAAACCCUUCAAUGACUCCACCUUGUCCUGAGACUAACAUCCAGGCUCUUAACCUGACUUACAAAGUCUUCCUUUCCCAAAGCAGGCUGAAAGACUGUUGCAGGUUGUGUUCCCCAGAAAGCAGACUCAGAUGGAGAUUAGCAUGCAGAAAGUUUGUUAGGGAGCCCUCUUGGGUGGCACAUCGAUGAAGAAGAAGGGAAGGAAGGAGGACUGAACAGAGGAAGAAGUUAAAUUGUGAUGUGGUCUCAACAGAGGCCUUAGCUGCCAAUGUGUCCCCAUCUGAAGCUGGGAUGACCCAUCAGAAUUGUCCCAAGUUUGAGUAAGAGGGCUGGGUCUUUUUGUCUCCAUAUUGAUCAGCCAUUGGAUACGGGUUGUCCUGAGAAGGGGACAUGACCUUGGAUGGGGCCAUCCACACAUUCUACAUCCUCUUAUGCUAACUCCAGGCCCUUUUUAGAACAUUGACCCAAACUCAGCACUUCCUUGUCCCACACCUUUGAGUACUCAGCCCCUCUCACUAAUUUUUUCCAGUCUACACAGAGAGGGUAGGGUUAAGGUGAGGAUGGCUGCCCUUAGGCACAUUCUCCCGUUGAGCUACCUCUUAGGCCCUACACUGGACUCUUGCUUCUUUAUGAGGCUUGCAUCUUCUGGGUUCAGGAAUCUCAGCCCUCUCAGAGGUUUCUUUCCCUAGGCCUCCUCUUACCCAACCCCCAGAGGUAUUGUUUUGAGAACCUUCCCAAGGACUCAGGCAGUAUCUAAGGUCUAGUCACAUCUCCUCCCUUCUCUGCUACUCAAACUUUUAUUCUCUUUGAGUGGAAAAAUAGCUUUUACAUUAACCUUCAUCGAUCCCAAAUUGACUGAAAUAUUUUAUGGUGAAAUUCUAUGCUCUGAGUUCUCCAUCUUUGCCUUUAUUUUUUAAAGCCAGAUUUUUAUCCUUUUCUCUCUUAAGCAUCAGGUUUAGGAAGUUGAAAACCAUGACUUUGAAGAUUAUUGUCUCUGCCAUAGAUUUACAAAAGCCUACUCAAGAGCUCAAAAUCCAAAUAAUUCAAUUCCUUUUAUGCAUGUGUGCGUGUGUGUGUGUGUGUAUAAAAAUGUCUUCCUGCUCCUUGAAUAGUGAGGAGAAUGAUCUGGGCAAAAGGAAGAGAGAAAAACCACAUCGUUUAAAAAUCAAAUUUUAGGGGCUGGCCCGGUGGUGCAGCAGUUAAGUUCGCACAUUCCUCUUCUCGGCGGCCCUGGGUUUGCUGGUUCGGGUCCUGGGUGCAGACAUGGCACCGCUUGGCAAAAGCCAUGCUGUGGUAGGCAUCCCACAUAUAAAGUAGAGGAAGAUGGGCACGGAUAUUAGCUCGGGGCUGGUCUUCCUCAGCACGAAGAGGAGGAUUGGCAGUAGUUAGCUCAGAGCUAAUCUUCCUAAAAAAAAAAAAAAAAUCAAAGUUUACCCUGCUCUACACAUAAGCCUGCUCUGUCUCACUCUACCUCUCCCUCCCUCUUGCUCCCAGGGAUGAUCACCCAAAUAAAUUACCUGCAUCUGAGUCCCUAUCUCAAGUUCUGCUUCCAGGGGCAUCAGUGAAGGCAAUUGUAUUCCUCAUCAAUUUCACGGCAUUCUCCAGGGUGUCGUCUCAUGUCUGCUCAGGAACUGGCCCCUUAUGAUCUUCCAUGUGGUGUCCUUUUGAACUUGUCACCCAGCAGACUCUGCAACCUACCACUCUCAGAUAGCUGAGCCGUUGGCCACAGGAUUCUUUCUUAGGGAUCACACCUGCUACCACCAGUAGGCCUUCAAGGUAGAACACACUUUGGCAAUUGUGUAAUUUGACACAGUCAAAGGAGAUCAGUCUGUAACUUUUAAUGUGACAUGACUAAUGGUUCAGGGAUCAUGGAAGGGUAGAGCAAUAAUGGGAACAACUUAUACCCAUCACACAAGCCCAAAUCUGUCCUGAGGUUUCUUCCUGACAGGGCCAACUCGUUGCUUUGCUCAUGUACUGCCUCCAUGGCUGGAGGGUUAGUUCACAAUUCGACUACUAGAAUCACUAUUGGUACCUCCACACGUCAGAGUUCAAGCCAAACUGGCUCUCUGGCCUUAGAAAAAAAGGGUUUUUGUCCUCCUACUUCAUUCUAAUGAUGUGGGCUCGGCAAGCCGAGGAGUCAAAAGAAAGAUUUCUUGGACUCUCAAGGUCUGGUAGUAGCGCUCCUUUAUUCAGAGAAUAGCAUGGAGUAGCAUGGGGACAGAACCCAUGGGCAGUGAAGAGCUGCAAACAUGGGUUGAGGGUAGGGGUAAAUUUAAGGUAUAGGUAUGUGAGCUAUCUCUUUACAAGACAAGGAAAGAUUAUGUAAAAAAGUCAUUAAAAUGGUAUCAGUGUAGGUAGGGUCUGGUUAUUCGGUGGUCCUAUAGCUUUAGAUAAGAAUCAGAUCGGAUCAGGUCAGGAUGUCCUACACUUCCAGAGGGUGAUAUAGAUGGGUAUGUAGGGCAGGACACCUUGGGCUUUUCUCCCUUGGGGCAGCCUUGAUCCUCAUCACUAAAACCCACUUAAGUCCUGCAUAUCCUCUAUUUUUUUUCAAUCUCAAAAAUACAUCAUUUCCCUAAGAUAAUUGUUAGUGGGAUGUGUAUUACCUGCGGGGAAACCACCCCAUAGGCAUGUGAUCUGGUUCUAGGGAAUCAGUAAGACUCAAACACACAAUAUCUUUAAUCAUUACAUUUUCUAAAUCUUAAAAACAUGUCAUAUUUGAGAAAUCAAAGCCCAGUUUAGGUUAAGUCUGGUAGUCUGAUAGUUUCAACAUCUGGGUCAUCUCUAGUCUGUAUAAAACUUAGUUCCUUUUCAGUCUUUUUUUACUGAAUAUUCAAAAAUCUUGGGGAUCCAGUCUCACCCAGAGUCACCUUGUUACAAAUAUAAAUCAAAGAGGAUAGCAAGUUAGACAAUAUCUGGUUUAAAGCGACAGAAAUGUAACUCAUGCUACCUCAAGCAGAUUACAACAUCAUGGGGAAGACAGGAAUGGUGGCUGUCUUGGGGGUCUCCAGAACCAAUGGACCUGGACGCUGUUGGUAUGCUCUCCCUUGCCAUCUCUCAUCUCAGUUUCUUUAUUCUUUAUUGACUUUAUUCUUUCAGUCUUCUCUAAUGAAGCUGAACAGCAAUCGUGGUCUUAUGGCCUUAUAGGUUUUUCUUUAAAAGAUUAGAAUUAAGAAAAAAAUUCUUUUAUAUUUCCUAUAAUUUUUCUCAUUUCUGAUGCUCUUUAUUCCUUUAUGUAGAUCCAAAUUUCCAUCUAGUAUCAUAUGUCUUCUGCCUGAAGAACUUUCUUUAGCAUUCCUUAAUAUGCAGGACUUCUAACAAUGAAUUCUUUCAGUUUUUGUUUGUCUGAAAAAAAUCUUUAGUUUGCCUUUAUUUUUUAUUAUUAUUUAUUUAUUUAUUUUUGCUGAGGAAGAUUAGCCCUGAGCUAAUCUGUGCCAAUCUUCCUCUAUCUUAUAUGUAGGUCGCUGCCACAGCAUGGCUGCCAAUGCCUGCCAAUGAGUGGUGUAGGUCCAUGCCCAGGAACCAGGCCUGUGAACCCAGGUCACCAAAGUGGAGUGCACAUGAACUUAACCACUAGGCCACAGGGUUGGCCCCAGUUUGCCUUUAUUUUUGGAAGAUAUUUUCACUGGAUACAAAAUUCUGGGCUUACAGGUUUUUUCCCCUUUUCCUUAAAGAUGCCACUCCAUUGUCUUCUGGCUUGCAUAGUUUCUAAUGAUAAAUAUACUGUAAUUCCUUUCUUAUUUAAAAAAUAUUUUUGUUGUAAUUAUUAUCUUUGACUCUCUCUCUCUUUUUUUUUUUUUUUUUGAGGAAGAUUAGCCCUGAGCUAACAUAUGCUGCCAAUCCUCCUGUUUUUGCGAGGAAGACUGGCCCUGAGCUAACAUCCAUGCCCAUCUUCCUCUACUUUAUAUGUGGGAUGCCUGCCUCAGCAUCGCUUGCCAAGAAGUGCCAUGUCCACACCCAGGAUCCGAACCAGAGAACCCUGGGCCGCCAAAGUGGAACAUGUGCACUUAACUGCUGCACCACCAGGCUAGCCCCUCUGUGACUGUAUAUAGCACGCAGUGAAUACUUACAGCAUCCACAUGUCUGCUUCCACCAGGAGUGCUGAGCUGUGUGGUAACUUUAUUUUAACCUUUUGAAGAACUGUCAGACUCUUUUCUGAAGCGGCUACACCAUUGCAUAAUCCCACCAGCAAUAUAUGACCCAGGACUUCUCCAUGAAGACUUUCUAGACUUGUCUAUUCAAAGCCAACAGUGAACUUCUCCUGAAAAAGGGUUAUAUCAAUUUUAACUUUGUAUCCAAAGCAUGAGAACAAUGUGCUCCUGGAACAUAGUUUCUUCUGAGAUUUGUUGAUGAAUAAAGGAAAAGAAAUAACUGGAUAGGAAAGCUGUUCAUUUGUUUACCUUGUCAUCUUAACAGUCUGUUCAAAUAAUUUUGCCCAAUAUUUUUCAUUAUAUAACAACUAACCCUUAAGGACGUCUCCCAAGCCCAAACUAUCUCAAAAUAAUUAAAAUCGCAAUUGAAUUUAGGGAUGAGCUUAGUAUAGAAAUAGCCGCAGUAGUUGUUUCUAUUUGCUUGAACUCCACAAUGAGCUGUUUCAUGCUUCUUCACAUUUGAGAUAAUACUUCAAAUUUAUACCCACAAUGAAAUAAAGGCUUAAAAAUAAUCUGAUAUGACUUUUGAACCAUAAAAUUACUAGACUGGGUGGAGGGCUCAUUUUCUUCACAAAUUCAUUGUUCAUUUGGUACUCAUUCAUGCAAAUGUUGUAAUCUGUUUUAAAACCACUUCUAAGCUUUAAGAAAAAAAGAAAUAUAUAUAUAGUCAUGUAAACGAGGCUCUGGAAACUCUGCCUUCUGUUAAUCUUAAUAUCCUGAUGCAUUUUAUUCUGAAUAUUUUUAAGUUAUUUACUGCCAAAAAUAAUAUUAACACUUAUUCAAUAUCACUGUUUCAUGGCACCAGGCCUCAUGUGUAUCUAAAUACCUUUUUAAUCUUAUUCUUCGCUUGUAUAGAAUAUUUUAUUUCAAGGCCUGAAAUUUAUUUUUCUCAUGGAAUAAAAACAUCUUUGUUUGCUCUUUACUAUUUAAUUACAUUUUUCCUAUUCCAUACAAUUGUCAUCUAAUUGCAUUUGUUUCUGAUUGCUAAUCCAGUUAUGUUAGCAAGAAGAUGAAAUCUAUAGGAUAUUCUGGUUUGUGUAAUAAGCAAAAAUUGUCAAGUGUUGUGUGCUUCUGUCACAGAGAGACUGAUCUGCUAAAAAAAAUCUUUAUAAGUUAAGUUUAUUUUUUAUAGGUAAAAACAGUAAAGAGAGAAAUGGAGAAAACAAGUUAGCGAUCUAGAAUGAAUUCUCUCUAUUAAGGAAUAAGAAUAAAACUUUCAUAGAACUUAC
Molecule: long non-coding RNA, 9560 nt
Organism: Equus caballus (horse)
Lineage: Eukaryota; Metazoa; Chordata; Mammalia; Perissodactyla; Equidae
Source: Ensembl